CCGGGUAUCAGGGGCUCCGGCCCCGCUCCCACACCCUCUGCAAACCCCUUCGACGACUCCAUUGGCGCGAGGUCGUGCGGAGGGGGUCCCCUCUCUUGCGGAGGGCGGCUCCCCUCCCUGACCUGCCAGCCAACAGAAAACUCUGCCUAGAAACCUGCUUUCUGAGCUACACUAUGGAAAUAGCGAA
Molecule: unclassified non-coding RNA, 187 nt
Filed under: uncultured fungus
Lineage: Eukaryota; Fungi
Description: sequence contains ITS1
Source: RNAcentral